Molecule: ribosomal RNA, 253 nt
Filed under: uncultured bacterium
Lineage: Bacteria
Description: partial 16S ribosomal RNA
Rfam family: Bacterial small subunit ribosomal RNA
Source: RNAcentral
UACAGAGGUCCCGAGCGUUGUUCGGAUUCACUGGGCGUAAAGGGUGCGUAGGUGGUGACGUAAGUCGGAUGUGAAAUCUCGGAGCUCAACUCCGAAACGGCAUUGGAAACUGCGUUGCUAGAGGGUUGGAGGGGGGACUGGAAUGCUUGGUGUAGCAGUGAAAUGCGUAGAUAUCAAGCGGAACACCAGUGGCGAAGGCGAGUCCCUGGACAACACCUGACACUGAGGCACGAAAGCUCGGGGAGCAAACAGG